AUUGCCUCAGUAACGGCGAGUGAAGCGGCAAAAGCUCAAAUUUGAAAUCUAGCACUUUCAGUGUUCGAGUUGUAAUUUGAAGAAGGUAACUUUGGUUUUGGCUCUUGUCUAUGUUCCUUGGAACAGGACGUCACAGAGGGUGAGAAUCCCGUGCGAUGAGAUGCCCAAUUCCAUGUAAAGUGCUUUCGAAGAGUCGAGUUGUUUGGGAAUGCAGCUCUAAGUGGGUGGUAAAUUCCAUCUAAAGCUAAAUAUUGGCGAGAGACCGAUAGCGAACAAGUACAGUGAUGGAAAGAUGAAAAGAACUUUGAAAAGAGAGUGAAAAAGUACGUGAAAUUGUUGAAAGGGAAGGGCUUGAGAUCAGACUUGGUAUUUUGCGUUCCCUUCCUUUUUGGUUGGGUUCCUCGCAGUUUACUGGGCCAGCAUCGGUUUGGAUGGUAGGAUAAUGACAUUGGAAUGUAGCUUUACUUCGGUGAAGUGUUAUAGACUUUGUUGAUACUGCCUAUCUAGACCGAGGACUGCGUCUUUGACUAGGAUGCUGGCGUAAUGAUCUUAAGCCGCCCGUCUUGAAA
This 569-nucleotide ribosomal RNA is filed under the name Dujonia zeylanoides. Its description in RNAcentral is "eukaryotic LSU rRNA". It matches the Rfam family "Eukaryotic large subunit ribosomal RNA", at positions 74 to 659 of the family's 3401-position model. Lineage: Eukaryota; Fungi; Ascomycota; Pichiomycetes; Serinales; Debaryomycetaceae. The record is from RNAcentral.